Hemicordylus capensis (graceful crag lizard) is the source of this 1716-nucleotide long non-coding RNA. RefSeq lists it as uncharacterized. NCBI's taxonomy places the organism in Eukaryota, Metazoa, Chordata, Lepidosauria, Squamata, Cordylidae. The record is from RefSeq and is a predicted model, not a curated record. The transcript is spliced from 2 exons.
GGGGGGGGAUUUCGUUUCCGUGGGCUGUGUAUACUUUAACGUGCGGCAUGGCACCGGGACACAACGGGCAGCGGCUGCUUUGGUGUGCCCGGAGGGCGAGGAGGCAUGUUGAGAGCUUUCUAGCCACGGGAGACGCCGGUGUCAGCUUCCGACGACGUGCGUGUUUCCUCGCUUCAGAGUUGCAGUUCGACCUGCGGACGGAGGCCAUUCGCGUGUGCCGUGCGUGCGCACGCGGCUCUCCCAGGCUUUGCCCUCAACAAACAUGGCGGCUCUGACCGUUCAUUCUAAAGCAGUGGCGCUAGCGACCAGCCAACGAGCGCGAGGGAUAGAGAGGCAUAAAUCCUUUUGCGCCUGCGCAAUGGUGGCUGCGUGAGAGGAGGGAAAACAUAGACUGAUUCUAGUUUCGUAUCGUUUGCCUUGCUAAGGGUUCCUUUAGGGUCCACUUUUGCAUGGCGGGUGGGUUUUUUUGGAUGUGCCCUCUGGAAGCAGCCGCAGUUUGAGCGAAUGCAGAUGCAAGCCUCUUCUCAUCGGCCUUGUGCAAAACGUUUCUGUCUCAGGUCAAGCAGCCGGAGCUGAUUCCAGCAUUGAGUGGGAGGACUAGCCAUAAAUGUCAGCGUGGAUGGCAAAACCCAGAGGAUUCCCAUCCAAGACGUUUCCAUGCACAUUUUAUGCAAGUCUUACAUUCCCUAUCGAGGAGGGAUGAGAAUCAGCAGAGGCAGCAAGUAGCAAAACCCAGGACGCUUGAUGGUCGCAGCUCAUCCUAACAGGCCAAGGGGGCACCGAGGGAGGGUCUGCUGCCUUCACGUCCCAGCUUUUGGGUUGCUUCUCUCUCCCCAACUCCGCCUGAGAGCCGCGCUGAUUGCAGGCUGUCCCUUGAUAGGACAAGCAGCUACUGCAGAUAGGGGGAAGAUUUGCUUGUAUGGUCCUUUUAACCAUUGCUUUGAUUGGUGUGUCCUGAGCAUUGUCCAACCAUCCAGCUCCCAUGUCCCCAGCUGAAGUGGCCCUCCUCCCUCCCCCAACUGCCACCACAGAAUGGCCAGGGGCCAUCUUCCUCUGAGGGGAGGAGAGAAGAAAGACUUAAGGCCCAUGGGAAGAUGCUGAAAGGAGAAGGCAAUGGUCAACCCUUCCUGUAUUCUACCAAAAGAUAAUCACAGGCCUCCUGCGCACCCACACCCCAACAUUGCAGUUUUGAGAUAAUCAUACUGGUCGUCUUUAGAAGGCUGUUGGGUUGAUGACGUUCCUCAAAUAGAAGGCAACUCUGAAUUUAAGAUGAUUCCCUUUAAAAACACAGGUAAGGAAGAGGACUCUGAAUUUAAGAUGACUCCCACCCCACCCCAGUGUAUAAUAGCAUCAAAGAACUUGAGAGAAACCUAGUCUUGGAUUCAGAACUGUGGGCAGCAGAAAGAGACCUGCCAGGACAGUUCUGCAAAUGCUUACAUAAGAGUUCACUCCGUUCCCUAAUGAGCAGGUUUGGUGGCAGUUUUCAUGUUCCUGCUUGCCCAGGUUUCACAAACGGUUGUGCAAACUCCCACCAAGAGAACAUAUCCAAAGGUGCUCUUGGGAUAUACUUUCACUUCCCUUGCUCAACAUUCUAGCUGGAAGGGAGAGGCAGCCUGUGUGGAAAGACACCUCUGGAUCCAACCCAUGGUUUUUAUGCUUGAUGCUCCUCUCUCGAACUGCCUGGAAUAAAAUAAAAUGCUUAAUCUCUUAACCAGA